RNAcentral lists this ribosomal RNA (253 nucleotides) under uncultured bacterium. RNAcentral describes it as "partial 16S ribosomal RNA". It matches the Rfam family "Bacterial small subunit ribosomal RNA", at positions 524 to 776 of the family's 1533-position model. The record is from RNAcentral.
UACGUAGGUGGCAAGCGUUGUCCGGAAUUACUGGGCGUAAAGCGUGCGCAGGCGGUUUUGUAAGCCAGAUGUGAAAUCCCCGGGCUUAACCUGGGAAUGGCAUUUGGGACUGCAAGGCUCGAGUGCGGCAGAGGAGACUGGAAUUCCUGGUGUAGCAGUGAAAUGCGUAGAUAUCAGGAGGAACACCGAUGGCGAAGGCAGGUCUCUGGGCUGACACUGACGCUCAUGCACGAAAGCGUGGGGAGCAAACAGG